This 30-nucleotide non-coding RNA is filed under the name Rattus norvegicus (Norway rat). The record is from RNAcentral. Lineage: Eukaryota; Metazoa; Chordata; Mammalia; Rodentia; Muridae.
UGGACCUAAGAAAGUGGCUCAUUACUUUCC